GAGAAUCAUUUGAACCCAGGAGGCAGAGGUUGCAGUGAGCCAAGAUUGCUCCAUUACGCUCCAGCCUGGUGACAGAGCUGUCUCAAAAAAUAAAGAACCCUCAGUGGACAUGAAGUGAGGGUGACGUGUGGUGUGAAGCAGGUGUCUGCUGAGUCUUGAGAAACCUCCCCUGGAGAUGUGCAGUGACCUCCAGAGAGACAGUGGUCACAUAACAGCAGAGCAGCAGAGGCCCCUUAACCCCAUGGUCACUGCCAGGAGCAAACUGUACAGGAAACGCCGACCUGGUGGCAUCACUGAGAGCACAGUGUCACAUGGUUCUUCUGCCGCACUGCAUGACCCGAAUCUAAUCCCCAGGAGACAUCAGACACAGACCCAAACCCAGGGACCUUCUGUGAAGUGACGGCCAACGCCUCCUAGUGUUACGUCUGGUUGCUAAAUGUACUCAGCUUAAGAAUCCAGACACCCUGUUGUUCCCACCAGAGCUUCUCAGAAGAUAUUUCGGGUAGUUCAUCAUCUGUCAUGUGCAGAAUGCAUUUUAUUUCUCAUAUACACUUGUCAUGAUAAGCCAGCCACAUUAUUAAAAGGCUCCCAAAGAGAAUUUCCGGAACAUUUUCCAAGCGUUCCCCUUGGGCAUGAGGUAAACCAGAGGUGGCUGUGGUCGCAGGCCUGGCCCCAUGGUUCUUCCCAGGAGGGCGAGGCCUGACCUUGAGGCCUGGAGCCCCCCAGGGUCGGAUCUGCAGCCCAGGGGCUGAUGUGCGGGGCCUCAUUUGCACAGGCCGGUUAGUCGGAGCGCUGGCUGUGUUCCACCCAGGCUUCAGAAGCAAGGCAAACCACCUUCCUGAAGCUUCCUGUAUCGUUUCCUCUGGCUGCAUUAACAGAUUACUGUCUGCCAGUGGCUUAAAGCAACGCAAGCAUUACUAUUCCACAGCAGUGUCUAAAAGGGGCCCAAGCUGGACACCGUGGCCCCCGCCUGUCAUCCCAGCAGUUUAGGAGGCCAAGGUGGGAGGAUCGCCUGAGGCCAGGAGUUUGAGAUCAGCCCUGGCAACACAGUGAAACCCUGUCUCUACAAAUUUUUAAAAAAACUUCCCUGGCAUGGUGGCAUGUACCUGUAGUCCCAGCUGCUCAGGAGGCUGAGGCGGGAGGGUCGCUUGAGCCUGGGACAUAGAGGCUGCAGUACACUAUGAUCACAUUGCUGCACUUCAGCCUGGAAGACAGAGCAAGACCCUGAUUCAAAUUAUAAAUAGCCCAACAGGGCUGUGUCCGCCCUCAGCAGGCUCUGGGGAAAACCUGUUUCCCACCUUCUCUGGCAUGUAGAGGCACCUCAGUCCUGAGCUGGGCCCUUCGUCCAUCCUCAAGCCAGCAGUGCAGCCCCUCCCAAUCCCUCCAGCCCCUGCCCCUGAGCGUGUGCCUCUGGCUCUGACCUCCUGCCUCCCUCUCAGGAUCCCUGGGCCUGCACGGGGCCCUGCUAAUCCAGGACCAUCCCUAUCGGUCUCAAACAACCCCAUCUGCAGAGUCCCUCUUGCCAUGUAAGGCACCAUGUUCAUAGGUCCCAGGGGCCAGGACGCACACAUCUUCAGGGACUUCUGUCCCUACAGCUCCUGGUUGUGAGGUAUGUGGGUGACUCAGGCUUGACCCGGAGUGGCACCAGGUCCUUCUGGUCGGUGGGGGGCCCUGUGGCUCUAGACAGCUGUGCGCCUCAGGUAUCUGCACUCGGAGGGGAGGGUGGUGGCCUGCUCGUCCACUCUGAAGAGUGGGGCGGAGGUCAUGACUUAGGGCACCAGGCUUGGUCUUCGGGGCCGCCCGCCUGACAGGGCCGGACAGAGUACGAUGGUUUGGGGUAGGGGGCGGGAGCCCGCCCCGCUUAGUCUGCAGGGGCUGCAUGACCUUCAAGGAAGCAGAAGUGCUGUGGUGGGGCGGCCCCUGCUGGACGGUGGCAGCACUGAGGCAGCCUCGAAGGUCAAUUGCAGGGGCAGGGCCAGGUGGCUGUCACCUGGGGCAGGGACUGUGUGGUUCGUGCAGGUAGGCCUCUGCCCCAGGACCCAGGCUAGGGCCAGGGCCGUGCAUCCUGAAGCCCCAUGCCUUCCUGACUCAGUAGCCCACAGGGGACUUGGGGAUCUAAGUAGAGCAAGGAGCCCCUUCCCACCACCUGCCCCCACCGCUUCUGCCAGCUCAAUUUUCAGGGGGUAUGGAGACCCACGUUUGGUCCAGAUCAGGGCAGCACAGGGUAGGUGCCUACAAAGUGUGGGGUGCAGUGAGGGACUGCAGGGGCUGACCCAGAGCCUGGGCAAGGCAGGGAUCUACCCACCAGUGGGGGCAGUGGUAGGGGCCAGGGCGGGAUGGUCCAGGCAGGGGCCCUUUGGACAGCAGAGCCACAGACCCUCCCCGGGGUCCCAGUUCUUCUCAAGGCAGAUUGUGGGAAGGCAUCAGCCCUCAUGGGCACCCGCUGAGGUGGGGUUCCUGCUUCACCGAGGCCUCUCUUUGAGGUGAGUGGCCUGGACAUGGGGCUGGGGGUGCUGGGAUUCUCUGAGGCCACCAGUGCACAUACCAAUCACUGUGCACAGACCAGCCAAACUUAGGGCCUCAAACCUCAUCUUCUGGCUCCCACCUCUAUGGCUCUGGGGCUGGCUGGGCUCAGCUGGGCAGUUCACAAGCAGGUAUGAGGAGGCUGGAGUCACUGGGCUCCUCCCUUGCUGCAUGGGUUCCAGCCCCUGAGUGGGCAGGACUGGGCUCAGGGCCCUGUUCCUGGGCUCUUUUCGAAUGGCCUCUGCAGUAUGGAGGCUGCAGAGGGGCCCAGCUGUGUAUGUGGAGGCAGGGCAGGGGCGAGGGGCCAGGCAGAAGCCACAUCCUCAUGUGACCCCAUGUCAGAGGUCACAGGCCACUGUCCUGCAUGGUCUGGGACAGUCACAGCCCCCCACCACAUUGCAGGUGGAAGUGAGAGGAGUGUCAGUCACAGUGUGGGGUGGGGCGGGGAGGGGAGGGAAGUGAAGGAAGAGGAUAGGUUCAUAGAUCGUGGAUAGAGAUGAUGGUGGUGACAGAUGAGUCACAGAUGGCAGAUAAACAGAUGACACAGGUAGAGGACAAGGAGACUGCUUGAUAAUACAGACGAUAGACAUGGACGGUGGAGGACAGACAGGUGA
Long non-coding RNA from Sapajus apella (tufted capuchin), 3137 nucleotides. RefSeq lists it as uncharacterized. The record is from RefSeq and is a predicted model, not a curated record. NCBI's taxonomy places the organism in Eukaryota, Metazoa, Chordata, Mammalia, Primates, Cebidae. The transcript is spliced from 2 exons.